AGACUUGUAUGAACGGCUAAAUGAGGACAAACCUGUCUCAUGUGACCAAUCAGUGAAACUGAUCUCCCAGUCCAAAAGCUGGAAUAACAACAUAAGACGAGAAGACCCUGUGGAGCUUCAAACCAACCACUAAUAAGCAGGACAACUGCACCUAGUGCACGGUUUUAAGUUGGGGCGACUUUGGAACAAAACAAAACUUCCAAGCACAGAACCACACAUUCCACUACGGCCAACAAGCCAAAGUAUAAAAAGACAGACCCAGUAAUACUGAUCAACGAACCAAGUUACCCCAGGGAUAACAGCGCUAUCUUCUUCAAGAGUCCCUAUCGACAAGAAGGUUUACGACCUCGAUGUUGGAUCAGGACACCCAAAUGGUGCAGCCGCUAUUAAAGGUUCGUUUGUUCAACGAUUAACAGUCCUACGUGAUCU
RNAcentral lists this ribosomal RNA (429 nucleotides) under Pygomeles braconnieri. RNAcentral's name for it is "partial large subunit ribosomal RNA". It matches the Rfam family "Bacterial large subunit ribosomal RNA", at positions 1984 to 2606 of the family's 2925-position model. The record is from RNAcentral. Lineage: Eukaryota; Metazoa; Chordata; Lepidosauria; Squamata; Scincidae.